Molecule: ribosomal RNA, 523 nt
Filed under: Streptococcus salivarius
Lineage: Bacteria; Bacillati; Bacillota; Bacilli; Lactobacillales; Streptococcaceae
Description: bacterial SSU rRNA
Source: RNAcentral
UUCUUGGAUGAGUUGCGAACGGSUGAGUAACGCGUAGGUAACCUGCCUUGUAGCGGGGGAUAACUAUUGGAAACGAUAGCUAAUACCGCAUAACAAUGGAUGACACAUGUCAUUUAUUUGAAAGGGGCAAUUGCUCCACUACAAGAUGGACCUGCGUUGUAUUAGCUAGUAGGUGAGGUAACGGCUCACCUAGGCGACGAUACAUAGCCGACCUGAGAGGGUGAUCGGCCACACUGGGACUGAGACACGGCCCAGACUCCUACGGGAGGCAGCAGUAGGGAAUCUUCGGCAAUGGGGGCAACCCUGACCGAGCAACGCCGCGUGAGUGAAGAAGGUUUUCGGAUCGUAAAGCUCUGUUGUAAGUCAAGAACGAGUGUGAGAGUGGAAAGUUCACACUGUGACGGUAGCUUACCAGAAAGGGACGGCUAACUACGUGCCAGCAGCCGCGGUAAUACGUAGGUCCCGAGCGUUGUCCGGAUUUAUUGGGCGUAAAGCGAGCGCAGGCGGUUUGAUAAGUCUGAAG